AUACGGAGGGUGCAAGCGUUAUCCGGAAUCAUUGGGUUUAAAGGGUCCGUAGGCGGACUAUUAAGUCAGAGGUGAAAUCCCACAGCUCAACUGUGGAACUGCCUUUGAUACUGGUAGUCUUGAGUUAUAUGGAAGUAGAUAGAAUGUGUAGUGUAGCGGUGAAAUGCAUAGAUAUUACACAGAAUACCGAUUGCGAAGGCAGUCUACUACGUAUAUACUGACGCUAAGGGACGAAAGCGUGGGGAGCGGACAGGAUUAGAUACCCGAGUAGUCC
Molecule: ribosomal RNA, 274 nt
Filed under: uncultured bacterium
Lineage: Bacteria
Description: partial 16S ribosomal RNA
Rfam family: Bacterial small subunit ribosomal RNA
Source: RNAcentral